CCUACGGGAGGCAGCAGUGAGGAAUAUUGGUCAAUGGGCGCAAGCCUGAACCAGCCAAGUCGCGUGAGGGAAGACGGCCCUACGGGUUGUAAACCUCUUUUGCCGGGGAGCAAGCCUGAGCACGUGUGCCCAGGCGGAUAGUACCCGGAGAAAAAGCAUAGGCUAACCCCGGGCCAGCGGCCGCGGUAAUACGGAAGGCCCGAGCGUUAUCCGGUUUUAUUGGGUUUAAGGGGUGCGUAGGGGGAAUGCCAAGUCAGCGGUAAAAUGGCGGGGCUAAACCUCGCUACGCCGUUGAAACUGGCGGUCGUGAGUGGGAGAGAAGUAGGCGGAAUGCGUGGUGGAGCGGUGAAAUGCAUAGAUAUCACGAAGAACUCCGAUUGCGAAGGCAGCAUACGGGCGCCCAACUGACGCUGAAGCACGAAAGCGUGGGUAUCGAACAGGAUUAGAUACCCCAGUAGUC
RNAcentral lists this ribosomal RNA (460 nucleotides) under uncultured bacterium. RNAcentral describes it as "partial 16S ribosomal RNA". It matches the Rfam family "Bacterial small subunit ribosomal RNA", at positions 338 to 795 of the family's 1533-position model. The record is from RNAcentral.